GACGAACGCUGGCGGCGUGCCUAACACAUGCAAGUCGAACGGAGUACCUUCGGGUACUUAGUGGCGAACGGGUGAGUAACGCGUGAGAAACCUGCCUUUCAGUGGGGGCAACAGUUGGAAACGACUGCUAAUACCGCAUAACAUAUUUUGGUGGCAUCACCGAAAUAUCAAAGGAGCAAUCCGCUGAAAGAUGGGCUCGCGUCUGAUUAGAUAGUUGGUGAGGUAACGGCUCACCAAGUCGACGAUCAGUAGCCGGGCUGAGAGGCUCUACGGCCACAUUGGGACUGAGACACGGCCCAGACUCCUACGGGAGGCAGCAGUGGGGGAUAUUGGACAAUGGGGGAAACCCUGAUCCAGCGAUGCCGCGUGAGGGAAGAAGGUUUUCGGAUUGUAAAGCACUUUCAGAGGGGAGGAGAAUGACGUUACCCUCAGAAGAACGNACCGGCUAACUCCGUG
Molecule: ribosomal RNA, 456 nt
Filed under: uncultured bacterium
Lineage: Bacteria
Description: bacterial SSU rRNA
Rfam family: Bacterial small subunit ribosomal RNA
Source: RNAcentral